GGGGAUUUAGCUCAGUGGUAGAGUGCUUGCCUAGCAAGCGCAAGGCCCUGGGUUCGGUCCCCAGCUCCA
Molecule: non-coding RNA, 69 nt
Organism: Rattus norvegicus (Norway rat)
Lineage: Eukaryota; Metazoa; Chordata; Mammalia; Rodentia; Muridae
Source: Rfam